GCCAGUGUGGCAUAAUGAUUUGAGUGUUGGACUAUGAUUCCUGAGACCAUGGUUCAAUUCCCAGCUCAGCCA
Molecule: non-coding RNA, 72 nt
Organism: Phrynosoma platyrhinos (Desert horned lizard)
Lineage: Eukaryota; Metazoa; Chordata; Lepidosauria; Squamata; Phrynosomatidae
Source: the annotation of a GenBank genome assembly